GGAUCCUUAAUCCACUGAGUGAGGCCAGGGAUGAAACCCGCAUCCUCAUGGACACUAUGUUGGGUUCUUACCCCACUGAGCCACAGUGGAAUUCCACAAGGAUGGCUUAAAGCAGAAAAUGUUAAUAAAACCAGUAGAAACGGGGUCAAAGAUCUUAAAGUGAAGGUGGAUCUGAUGGUGUGGAAUCUUACCAAGAUGCUGCUUUUCUUUCCAUAAAGGAAAAGCUAAAAUGGAAAUCUUCCCAUUUGAACUUCAAACUAGUUUUAAAUACUUUAGGGGAAAAAAAUCUACACACACGACAAACCUCCCACUUAGACACCCUCCCACUGGCUGGUAAUUCUCUCUGAAUAGUUUGUGGGCAGCACCCCGGCAGUCGGGACAUCAUUGUGCUACUCUCCCUGUCUCUGGGGACAUUCAAAAUACGCACGUAUGACGGCAGGACUCAUCUUUGUGGGAUCCUUUCCCUCCAAGUGGCGACUUAGAGACACUGUGAGGUGGAAUUACUCUGGAGGAACCCAGAAAUGCAAACAUUUAUGGAAUUACUAGGCACAAAUUACUUGGCAAGGCAAAUUGGAGCAAUUAGCCAACCUUUGUGACGAAGGAAUGUUGAGCGUGAAACAACUUGAGAAUGGAAUAAAAAUGGACCUAUUAUUCCUUGACUCAAUUAAGUGCACAUAAUAUAAUUCAAUAUGCUUUUGCCAAACCAUAUAUUUAUCUGUGCUGUGUGAGCGUGAGGGUGAGGGUGGGGCUGCUUCUAAGAGCGAUCCAUUCACACCAGCCCAGCUCCUCCCCCACCUUGGAAGGGAAGAAACUAGUGGUUCCUUCAAACUGGAUGAGAACGAGCCCCGUUGCAUAAUAUCUUGUACACAAGAAAAAUGAUGCCAGUGACACUGAGUUCCUUUUUGUAAUGGUUACAGAUUUCUAUAGGAAUUAGUGAUGCAGAAACAAUGUGUGACUUUUUUUCCUCCCUCCAGAUAAGCCCAAAUUAUAGACGUACUCUUCUCUGUAUUCGCCCAGAUGGUAAACUAGACUCAUCGGUUGGAAAGGAGCUUUAAAAUUGGCACACAGUUAGCAUUUCUGUUCUACUCAAAUAAAAAUAUCAAGAGGCCUGUCAAUAAUUUUAUACUUCCAAGGACCAGGAAACCCUUUUCUACUUUGUCUAUCCAUGUUGUUUAAAAAAUGUAACCCACGUGGCUAUCAUUAAGGACCAUCGUCUAGGGGAUGAAUAAAUAACCUGUGACUCGGGGCCACCAUCAGAGCUUGAAGGGACUGGAUGGGUGAUCUGGGACACACUUCUCCCCUGCAGGUCUGGCAGACCCUCAUCUUCGGACUCCUUGUCCACGCCUGGCCCCCAAAUCUCUCAGUUUCGAGUAUGUGCCCAAAAUGGCACCAGAGAGCUGGCCGCAGGCUGCACGGCCAUCCCAGCCCCACCUCGUAGUUCCAAAGAGACUUCUUUGUGGAAUUACUUUCUUCUGUCACCUCUUACUCUGUCUCUUUUGACCUCUACAUUUUUUUUUUCUUUGAGAGUCAUCUUUGCUAUAAUGCAAAUACUUGCUUUUAUUCCACAAACACAUUUUUCUGAUUCCUGGAAUAUACUAGUUGGCAGUGUCUUGGCAUUUAUGUGUAUAAAAUUUCAACUUUGAAUAUUUUCUAUGUUAGGACUCUUUUUUUGGGGGGGGUAACUGCUAAAUUUUGAAAUAAUUUCAGAAUUUCCAAAAAGCUGCAUGAAUCGUACAAAGAAUUCCUCCAUAGCCUUUACCCAGAUUCUCCAGUGGUUAACAUUUCCUCACUUGCUUCAUCAUUCCGUCUCUGUGUAGAUACAGAUUUUCUGGGUUUUUUGUCUGAGCCAUUUGAGAGGAAGCUGUAGCAUGAUGUCUCUUUACUCCUCCAUCCUGCCGUGUGUCUCUUACUAUGAAAAGUAUUGCACUUCAGUGCUGAAAAAGGAAAAAGCAGAUAAGCAAAAAGAAGGAAAGUAAAAUCCAUCUGGAAUCUUGCUACCCAGAAAUAAACAUUUUGCUGGAUAUUCUUUCAGUCCUUUUCUUUGCAUCUAUUCGAAUUUUUCACCCAAAUGUGACACUCUACAUACACUGUUAAGCCCGGCUGUUAGAGGCUACAUAGCACAGCAGGAGAGCCCUGGUUCUGGAGUCAGCCUGGGCUCCAAUCCUGGGGGGUACCACUUACUAUCUGGAUUCACUUCCUGCGGCUGCUGGAACAAAUGACCACAAAUGAGGUGGCUUAAAACAUCAGACAUUUAUUCUUGCCUCGUUCAACAGGCCAGAAGUCUGAAAUCGAAGUGUCAGCAGGGCUGGUUCCUCCUGGAGCUCUGAGGGAGAAUCUGUCCCCAGAUUUGGGUGGCUGCCAGCAACCCUUGGUCUCCUUCAGCGUGAGGACACCUCCAUCCCUGCCUCUACCCUCACAUGGACUCUAUCCCGUGUCUGUGCGUCUCAGAUCACUCUCUUUUCUCAUUUUUGAACACUCAGGUAGACGGUAAACCACAGCAACCGUGGCAGGAAAACAGCCCACCACAAAUAAAAGCCUGAAGCUCCAGCUGACACAUCUUAAUGAGAAAUUGCUCAGCAGUUCAAACAUUCUGGCUCAAAGCCUUCACCGCAUGUUGAGGGACGGAGAAGCCAUUUUUCCGGGGCAACCCUCCGGCCACAGGGGGCUGUGACCAAAAAUCCAAGUUGAACUUGACUGUCCAUGAAGGAACAAUAUUCCUCCUAAGUAAAAGUUGCUGUUAUUACAUGGAUGGAUUUGUCACUGAAAUGUUUUUUGUAAACAUUUGAAGCCGGGCUUUGGAAAUUGCAGAGUGAAUUGCUGCUACCCCAGAAAGGUCCAGCCUCAGACAGACCAGUGGAAGAGUCAUCGUGAUCAAGCCUUUGGGAAAUAAACCUCGAGGAAAAUGCUUGCACUUUCGUACAGCCCAACUGACUCUAAGAUUGUAGUAGGGUUUCCAUCCAGAGACACAAAGGAGAAUCAGGGAUUGCCAUUUGAUCAAACCGGCUUUGACAAAAUGCACUAGGAAGCAUAAACACACAAGAUACCCCCCACCCCGUACUGGCUGCAUCACUAUUGAACCACCUGCCUCGUUGCCUGGACUACCUCUUCUGGAUGGGCCUGUCAAACUGAACCUCAGCAGAGCUAGGCCUGGGGGGACUUCCCAUCCGCCUCAGCCAGAAGGUCCCACAGCAGGCAUCUCUACACAGUCAUAGAAGCCUCUGACGAGGUUGGAUGGAGAGCACAGAGAAAACUCCAGAUAAUCAGACGCACUGAAACUGCUACCACGACACUGGAGUUGCAGGAUGACUCACCCUGGGCUGCUGCAGGAAACUCCUCUGGUCGCUGCCCUGGAUCCUCAACGGUAAAGGGUCCCUGGAAAACUGUGCUUGGACUGCCACCUAGUGGUUACAAAAAGCAAGACUCGGUCUGGGCAGGAUUCUGCUUCCCCAGUCACACCCACCACAGUUAUCACCCAGAAUCAGCAUCUCCUCAAAGAAAUUUUAGAAGAUGAAAAUUUUAUUCACAGAUUCACAACCUAAUUCCCUAUUUUAAUUUGGUUUAAUUAUAUCAUCCACCUAAUACACUGCAACACUGAGAUUCAAGGUAGGGGCAAAAGCACCAGCCUAGGGAGUCUAAAGGCUCUUUUGAGUCACUAGCUCACUGUUCAACUUCGGGGAAGUGGCUUGAACCUUCCAUUUUCUCUUAGGAAAAUGGACAUUAACAAUAUGCAGAGUUUAGGCGGCUGCGAGGUCUGUGCAUGAAGCCCCUUUAUAAACUGUAUGAUGUUCUCCCCUUUCUAGCUUCCUGCUCCUGUUUCCCUGGGAUUCUGCACCCCGAUGUCCACACCCACCCUUCAGUUAAACCAGUCAGCCAAACCCCUGUCCCCCUUCCCCUUCCCCGGGAAGCAGAGGCCUCCUCUUCUUUCGUAGUGCUGGAAAUAGAACACAGAAACCAAACCAAACCAAAACAAAACAAAAAACAACAGCCAAAAAAGGAAAGAUCCAGCCCAGGAUGUGCUCAUAGAACAGUUAACAAUGAAAAGAGUCAAGGGAGACUUCUGCCAUCGACAGCCUGCACUCACCAGGAGAAAAUUCACUCAGAGGACAAAACACUGUGGCAGGUUGUCACCAGAGUGGCGGUGCUGAGGCUGCACCUAGUGACGGCACCCCACACGGAGACAGAGGGAUCUGCUUGUUCCUCAGCCUCAGCCCUGGCCCUGGGCCCUCCUGCCUGAACUGGGUAGAGAUGUCCUCAGAACAACUUCCUGCCCCGCUCAGGGCCCCUCUGAUCUCUGGAAUUCACCAGGGAUCCCACAUUCCACACGCAGGUCUGGGCUCCCGUAGCUCAGGCCCCACCUCACGUCUCUGUGGGGCUGAUUGCGGCUCACUGGGUGUCCCGCGUCCCCAGCUGACUCACAGAGAUUUCCAACCUUGCAUGAUGAUGCACCCGUAUCUGUAACUUCAUUUUAAGCACACACCUCACUAUGAAUGUUUAUUUCCAUAGAAAGAGGCACUCCUGUAUUAAUAUACAGUGUAUGCUCUAGACAUUUCAAAGGAUGAGAAAUUAAAAUAUAAUGCAUGUAUGCAUGUAACGCCUAUGCCCACAAGUAGGUGCGUCCCCUUUUGGGCCUGGGACCUUUCUCUGACUGGUUAGAGCUGUGGUUGGGGCACAUGGAGCUUGUAUGGGGACCCUCUCCUGAAGCCCACCAUGGAUUCAGAGACAGAGGUGAUGUUUGCUAGGAGGGGAGUCAGGUGUGAGGAAGAAGCAUGAUUCUCUUCUCAAAUCACACCUUCCUCCUGGGCGUCUGAUCAGCCAACAGCCACACGUCACGAGAACCUGGGACGCAGAGGCCACUAGCUUUCUUGUCCUGUGUUACAGGAUCUUGCGAUUCUCUGAGACGACUCCUGUCAUGAUUUUCUGAAGAAGAGAGGAGCAGUUCUCCAGCAGCUCUACGGGUUCCUAUAUGUACAUUGUACCAUUCCAUCCCCAAAGCCAUCCUGAGGGACAGGCGUGUGUUCCCUGCUGCAGAAGGAAGCUGAGGCCAGGAGAGGAUAAGUCAUGCCCUCAGGCCACCUGUCUCCUCAGAAGUAGAGUCUGCCUAUUUGUAAAGCCUCAGACUAAGCCCGCAGUACGAGGCAGGGCCUGGCUAUGCAUGAACAUGGAACUGGACAUCCUUGGCCCAAACUCCACUGGCAGUAGAGAGGACUCUUCUUACAGUGUCCUCUACCUUAAAAGCAAAGAUUUGUUCUGUACUUAGUCUCCUGUGGUUUUCCAUGUGGCUGGUUAUAAGGGUCAUUACUAAGGCUCGUCUACUCCCCAUCUUCCCCACUAAUCUACUAUCAAAGAACUAGAGGUUCCCACCUUUAGAUUUUAUUUUUUUAUGUUAUUUAUUUAUUUCUUCUUUUUAUAGCCACACCUGCAGCAUAUGGAAGUUCCCCGGGCCAGGGGUAAAAUCGGAGCU
Molecule: non-coding RNA, 5461 nt
Organism: Sus scrofa (pig)
Lineage: Eukaryota; Metazoa; Chordata; Mammalia; Artiodactyla; Suidae
Source: RefSeq, a predicted model, not a curated record